This is an RNA transcript of Toxorhynchites rutilus septentrionalis, 1903 nucleotides long. It is a transcript of the gene named serine/threonine-protein phosphatase 2A regulatory subunit B'' subunit gamma-like, with no coding region annotated. NCBI's taxonomy places the organism in Eukaryota, Metazoa, Arthropoda, Insecta, Diptera, Culicidae. The record is from RefSeq and is a predicted model, not a curated record. The transcript has 3 exons.
UUCAUUCGAUAUAGUAAACAAUGUUGAGCAAAACAUCUCUGUUUUUCUUUGUUUAUUCUAAAGUGCAAGGAACAUUACAACAAAAUGAGUAGCUUCCGGGAGAAGUUGCUCAGUAACCUGGAGAAAGUGAACGAAAGCGCAAUUCGACAGCAGCAUUCGACAAAAACAGAUGACGAAAUCGAUGAUGUGUUGUUUAAAAAUUAUCGGCAAAAGCUAUGUUCCAGUAAUGCAAAAUUGAAGGAAGUAAUCGAAAAUUCCAAGAAAACUGAUUCCUAUCAGUUCAUUCCCCAGUUUCACUUCGAACUACCGAAGAACAGUGACAGCCUGGCGCAGAAGCUUCGGGAGGAGGCGAGAACGUUGUUCCUCCAGAAGCGCAGCAAAGAAUUGCUUGAUAAUAAUGAGCUCAAAUUGUUGUGGAGUUUGCUGGAGAAGCACCAUUCCCCGCCAAUGAUGGGCGAGGAACAGUACAUAAAUUAUGAAAACUAUUGCAAAGUUGCUGAGAUCGCAGGUGAAAAAUUCAAACGUUAUUUGACUGCUUCGACAUUUGCGAGACUGGUGGUUUCCAGCAGCUAUCCUGGAAAGAUUAGUGUGAUGUCUUUGUUCAACUAUGCAAUGAGGAAGGUUUGGCUGCAACAGACACGAAUUGGACUUUCUCUGUAUGAUUAUACUGGACAGGGGUAUUUGAACGAAUCCGAUCUGGAGUCAUACAUCCUGGAAUUGAUUCCAACCUUUCCCCAAUUGGAAGGACUUGAAAAAUCGUUCCACAGCUUUUACGUUUGUACCACGGUGAGGAAAUUUUUCUUUUUCCUGGACCCGCUUCGUACGGGUAGAAUUCGGAUCAGAGACAUUCUGACCUGUAGCUUCCUUGAUGAUCUGUUGGAACUACGAGACGAAGAAAUACCAAAAGAUGCCCAAGAAAUGAACUGGUUUUCUGCUCCUUCCGCCCUUAGUGUAUAUGGGCACUAUCUCAACCUGGAUAAGGAUCACAACGGAAUGCUCAGCAAGAAAGAGCUCAUCGGUUACGGAUCCGGAACACUCACUCCAAUUUUCUUGGACCGUGUCUUUGCCGAAUGUCUCACGUAUGAUGGAGAGAUGGACUAUAAAACCUAUCUUGAUUUCGUGCUCGCUUUGGAGAACCGGUCGGAACCACAAAGUCUCCACUAUCUGUUCCGCAUAUUGGAUGUGGAGCACAAUGGGUACUUGACUGCGUUCACGCUGAACUAUUUUUUCAAGGGAAUCCAAGAUGAGAUUUCAGCACACCGGGCGGAACCGGUGAACUUUGCGGACGUGAAGGAUGAAAUCUUUGAUAUGGUUAAACCUGCCGAUCCGACUAAAAUUACGCUUAAAGAUCUGAUCAACAGCGGCCAUGGCGAGACAGUUGUUUCGAUUCUCAUUGAAUUCCACAAGUUCUGGGCCUAUGAAAACCGGGAGGCGAUGGUAACUGAUUCGACCGCUAGUGAUGAAACGCACAAUUUAUGAUAUUUAAUGCAGCGGAAGGAUAGCGACGAGCUGUUUACUGCCUUUUGAUUUCGUGCGGAGAGAUUCUCUGACAAUAAAUCAAAAUAGCUACGUCCACGCAACAAUCAUCAGCGAUGGAGAUCGAUCCACGGUCGAAACAAGAUCGAUUUAUCCAUACAACUGCUCUGCUCUGCAAGACACAUCGGGAUGCUGUUCUAUAAAUAACUCAACAAUGAUAAUAUCAACUGUCUCCGCUGUCCGGUGGUCUAACUGGAUAAUGGAAGAACAGAAAGAAUACUCUUACGCCUAAAUGGCUACUGUGUAAAUGUACCAUAUGCAAUGGUAUAGAAGGAAUACUGGCGAAUGGCAACUGUGUAAUGUGCUAUAAUUAUAGAUAUGAUAACAAUGUGACAUGUACACGAUUAAAAUUCGGCUCUGUUACAGC